Cannabis sativa is the source of this 1701-nucleotide RNA transcript. It is a transcript of the gene named flap endonuclease 1, with no coding region annotated. The record is from RefSeq and is a predicted model, not a curated record. Lineage: Eukaryota; Viridiplantae; Streptophyta; Magnoliopsida; Rosales; Cannabaceae. The transcript has 19 exons.
UACACGUGCGAUCCAACACUAUAUAAGAGGCACAUCACUGCUAAGUGAGAGGGCGGGUUUCUACAAAAAGGCGGGAAACAGCGUCAUACUCAUCCCUAACCUCCAAAUUCUACAGACCAUCCUCUUCUCCGACCUAUAUCAAUAAUGGGUAUUAAGGGUUUAACGAAGCUUUUGGCGGACAAUGCACCCAAGUCCAUGAAAGAGCAAAAAUUCGAAAGCUAUUUUGGCCGCAAGAUCGCUGUGGAUGCGAGCAUGAGCAUAUAUCAAUUUCUUAUUGUUGUGGGAAGAAGUGGGGCUGAGAUGUUGACCAAUGAAGCUGGUGAAGUUACUAGUCAUUUGCAAGGUAUGUUUGCGAGAACAAUUAGGCUUCUUGAGGCCGGAAUCAAGCCAGUUUAUGUUUUUGACGGGAAACCUCCAGAGAUGAAAAAGCAAGAACUGGCAAAACGGUACUCAAAGAGGGCAGAUGCUACUGAGGAUUUGGCGGCUGCCAUGGAGUCUGGCAAUAAGGAAGACAUUGAGAAAUUCAGCAAACGGACUGUGAAGGUUACAAAGCAGCACAAUGAUGACUGCAAAAGGCUAUUAAAGCUCAUGGGUGUUCCUGUUAUUGAGGCUCCUUCAGAAGCAGAAGCACAGUGUGCUGCACUUUGCAAAUCAGGGAAGGUUUAUGGUGUGGCUUCUGAAGAUAUGGAUUCUCUAACAUUUGGAGCUCCUAGAUUUCUACGCCAUUUGAUGGAUCCCAGCUCAAGAAAAAUCCCAGUCAUGGAAUUUGAAGUUGCAAAGAUUUUGGAGGAGCUAAAUCUUACCAUGGAUCAGUUCAUUGAUCUGUGCAUUCUUUCUGGAUGUGAUUAUUGUGAGAACAUUCGAGGUAUCGGAGGACUGACUGCAUUGAAGCUCAUCCGUCAACAUGGCUCCAUAGAGAAUAUACUGGAGAACCUAAACAGAGAGAGGUACCAAAUACCAGAUAAUUGGCCAUAUCAAGAGGCUAGGCAGCUUUUUAAAGAGCCGAACGUCUAUAGUAAUGAAGAAGAACCUGAGAUUAAGUGGACUGCUCCAGAUGAAGAAGGGUUGAUUGCCUUUUUGGUAAAUGAAAAUGGAUUCAACAGUGACAGGGUGACAAAGGCAAUAGAAAAAAUUAAAGUGGCGAAGAACAAAUCAUCACAGGGCAGAUUGGAAUCAUUUUUCAAGCCAGUUGCUAAUUCAGCCGUACCAAUUAAGCGGAAGGGAAGCAAAUGUGUGCUUAGACCUCCUAAACCAGCCUUGAAGCAUAAGGUGUUCUCUUUGAAAGCAUCUAAUUCAUUCGGGACCAAGAUCAUUGGCGGUUUGAGCCUGCCAAUAUUAGAUCUGGGUUUCAGGCACUCUAUCCCAUUAUCCAAAGGUGUUUGCUUUGUCCGUUGAAGUUGAAAUCCUGGAAACACCUGUGAACACUGCUGCUAAAGCUGGCAGUAACAAGAAAGCAAAAGCGGGUGGUAGUAAAAAGAAGAAAUAGUUUAUUUGGCAUCAGAACAUAGAGCCCAACUUUAUUGUAAUCAGGAAGAUUACAUCUUGUAACAGCUUAUGAGAUCCAUGCAUGCUUUGGAUUUUGUUGAGCUCAUAAUGGAAGUUGAUUGAUGUAAUAUUUAGGUUUUCUUCUUCUAACAUGAAACUUUCUGCUUAGCUUUCGUUUAAAGAAACAGUAAUUUAAUUCCAUAGCCUUUUUUUUAA